UACGGAGGAUGCGAGCGUUAUCCGGAUUUAUUGGGUUUAAAGGGUGCGUAGGCGGGCUUUUAAGUCAGCGGUAAAAAUUCGGGGCUCAACUCCGUCCGGCCGUUGAAACUGGGGGCCUUGAGUGGGCGAGAAGAAGGCGGAAUGCGUGGUGUAGCGGUGAAAUGCAUAGAUAUCACGCAGAACCCCGAUUGCGAAGGCAGCCUUCCGGCGCCCUACUGACGCUGAGGCACGAAAGUGCGGGGAUCGAACAGG
RNAcentral lists this ribosomal RNA (252 nucleotides) under uncultured bacterium. Its description in RNAcentral is "partial 16S ribosomal RNA". It matches the Rfam family "Bacterial small subunit ribosomal RNA", at positions 524 to 776 of the family's 1533-position model. The record is from RNAcentral.